GACGUAGGGCGCGAGCGUUGUCCGGAUUUAUUGGGCGUAAAGAGCUCGUAGGCGGCUCGUUGCGUCGGCUGUGAAAACCCACAGCUUAACUGUGGGCCUGCAGCCGAUACGGGCGAGCUAGAGUUCGGUAGGGGAGACUGGAAUUCCUGGUGUAGCGGUGAAAUGCGCAGAUAUCAGGAGGAACACCGGUGGCGAAGGCGACAUCCUGGACCGGUAUUGACGCUGAGGCGCGAAAGCCAGGGGAGCAAACGGG
Molecule: ribosomal RNA, 253 nt
Filed under: uncultured bacterium
Lineage: Bacteria
Description: partial 16S ribosomal RNA
Rfam family: Bacterial small subunit ribosomal RNA
Source: RNAcentral